This 440-nucleotide ribosomal RNA is filed under the name uncultured bacterium. RNAcentral's name for it is "partial 16S ribosomal RNA". It matches the Rfam family "Bacterial small subunit ribosomal RNA", at positions 338 to 795 of the family's 1533-position model. The record is from RNAcentral.
CCUACGGGUGGCAGCAGUGGGGAAUAUUGCACAAUGGGGGAAACCCUGAUGCAGCGACGCCGCGUGAGUGAAGAAGUCAUUAUUUACGUAAAGCUCUAUCAGCAGGGAAGAAAAUGACGGUACCUGAGUAAGUAGCCCCGGCAAACUACGUGACAGCAGCCGCGGUCAUACGUAGGGGGCCAGCGUUAUCCGGAUUUACUGGGUGUAAAGGGAGCGUAGACGGUGGGCCAAGGCUGGAGUGCAAUGCCGAGGCGUAACUGCGGAACUGCUUUGGAAACUGGCGACCUAGAGUGCGGGAGUGGGAGGCGGAAUGCCUAGUGUAGCGGUGAAAUGCGUAGAUAUUAGGAGGAAGACCGGUGGCGAAGGCGGCUUACUGGACCGUAACUGACGUUGAGGCUCGAAAGCGUGGGGAGCAAACAGGAUUAGAUACCCCUGUAGUC